GAAUUGCGAUAAGUAAUGUGAAUUGCAGAAUUCAGUGAAUCAUCGAAUCUUUGAACGCACAUUGCGCUCCUGGGUAUUCCCGGGAGCACGCCUGUUUGAGCGUCAUUUCUCUCUCAAAUCUUCGGAUUUGGUUUUGAGUGAUACUCUUAGUCGAACUAGGCGUUUGCUUGAAAAGUAUUGGCAAGAGUGGUACUUUAGGUGCUAAACUGUUUCAAUGUAUUAGGUUUAUCCAACUCGUUGAAUCUGGUUAGUUACUUUAGGGUGCUUAGGCUCGGCCUUACAACAACAAACAAAGUUUGACCUCAAAUCAGGUAGGAUUACCCGCUGAACUUAA
This 334-nucleotide unclassified non-coding RNA is filed under the name uncultured Saccharomycetales. RNAcentral's name for it is "sequence contains ITS1". The stretch from base 1 to 105 matches the Rfam family "5.8S ribosomal RNA", at positions 50 to 154 of the family's 154-position model. Lineage: Eukaryota; Fungi; Ascomycota; Saccharomycetes. The record is from RNAcentral.